CCUCCUACGGGGGGCAGCAGUGGGGAAUAUUGCACAAUGGAGGGAACUCUGAUGCAGCGACGCCGCGUGAGUGAGGAAGUAAUUCGUUAUGUAAAGCUCUAUCAGCAGGGAAGAAAGUGACGGUACCUGAAAAAGAAGCUCCGGCUAAAUACGUGCCAGCAGCCGCGGUAAUACGUAUGGAGCAAGCGUUAUCCGGAUUUACUGGGUGUAAUGGGCGAGUAGGUGGCAGAGCAAGUCUGAAGUGAAAACCCAAAGCUAAACUAUGGGAAUGCUUUAGA
Molecule: ribosomal RNA, 278 nt
Filed under: uncultured bacterium
Lineage: Bacteria
Description: partial 16S ribosomal RNA
Rfam family: Bacterial small subunit ribosomal RNA
Source: RNAcentral